This 593-nucleotide long non-coding RNA is filed under the name Homo sapiens (human). RNAcentral's name for it is "HSALNT0015237". The record is from RNAcentral. Lineage: Eukaryota; Metazoa; Chordata; Mammalia; Primates; Hominidae.
GGCUUUGCUGGUGGGAUAAGUGUAGUCGUUCAUCUAGCUGACUUCUUUAUGUACUUCUCAACUCCAGUACCUUAAAUGCUGUGACUGUAUGAAGAUGGCCCAUAUUAGGUAGAACCAAUGUAAAAGAGAACAGAAGGCUGGCAAACUUUUGAGAUAGCAGUUUUUAGGAAGAUGAACCCUAUCAGAGCCACACAUGAUCAUCCUUGAUGUGCAGAAGUAUAGAGUUCAGAGCCCAAGGAGAAGGGUCAUGCUUCAGUUCAAGUGAUGGCUCCAACCAUAAGAAGAUGGGAUAGAGUUAGUGAUAGUUUAUUUAUCCCUGCAAAAUACUGAUACCUUCUGGCACAUGGAACCUCCCCCCAUAUCCCAACAUCUGAAAUAGCUAUAAAAAUGGAGAAUCAUAAAGAAGACCACGAUCCCACAGAAUGGGACUUACCCACUUCACCAGAGGAAGAAGUCGACAGUGCUUGCUGACACCACAGAACCCAGGAAAAGAAGAGAAUAGAUUUGACAUCCUGUGGCAUUUACCUGGCCCAGGCCCUGACUCAGCUCAACUGGAUAACUUCCAGAAUGAAAAUUUAGAGAAAGCAGAGAAG